CUUUUUAUUAUAGCAGAAAAAUUAUAUUCAUCUGGAUUUUUAUUGAUAGGUAUUGGUUUUGAUUUAUUUUUGGUAAUAUUAAUAAAUUGAGUGAUGACAGCUCUUUUUUCAUUAGGAUCACUAAUUUUGUCAAUAAUAUCUAAGAUGAAAUUAUCUUCUUGAGUAAGUGUGUGAACAUUAUGUUGGGGUAGAGGACAACUACAAUUGUCUUCUAUUGAAUUAGAGGAUUCUGUAUCACUAGUAGAAUCAGAAGUACUUGUCCACAUAAGAUCAUCAUCGUCUAUUUGGUCUAGAUGAGAAUCACUAGAAGUAGAGGAGGAAGAAUCAUAAGAUAUGAUAUUAUACAAUUUUGAAUUUUAUUGUAUCAUCUAUAUUUAAUGAUUCUAUUUUCUUUUUUAAUUUACAUUGGUGUUUAUAAUGUCCUAUUUUGCCACACUUAUAGCAUACUGGUAAUUUUUUCCUUUUC
Molecule: long non-coding RNA, 466 nt
Filed under: Amborella trichopoda
Lineage: Eukaryota; Viridiplantae; Streptophyta; Magnoliopsida; Amborellales; Amborellaceae
Description: long non-coding RNA (ATRI_LNC001164)
Source: RNAcentral